This 440-nucleotide ribosomal RNA is filed under the name uncultured bacterium. RNAcentral's name for it is "partial 16S ribosomal RNA". It matches the Rfam family "Bacterial small subunit ribosomal RNA", at positions 338 to 795 of the family's 1533-position model. The record is from RNAcentral.
CCUACGGGUGGCUGCAGUGGGGAAUAUUGCACAAUGGGGGAAACCCUGAUGCAGCGACGCCGCGUGAGUGAAGAAGGAUUUCGGGAUGUAAAGCUCUAUCAGCAGGGAAGAAAAUGACGGUACCUGAAUAAGAAGCCACGGCUAACUACGGGACAGCAGCCGCGGGAAUACGUAGGGGGCAAGCGUUAGGCGGAUUUACUGGGUGUACAGGGAGCGGAGACGGCAGCUCAAGUCUGGAGUGAAAUGCGGGGGCUUAACCCCGGAACUGCUUUGGAUACUGUCCAGCUAGAGUGCAGGAGAGGUAAGUGGAAUUCCUAGUGUAGCGGUGAAAUGCGUAGAUAUUAGGAGGAACACCAGUGGCGCAGGCGGCUUCCUGGACUGUAACUGACGUUCAGGCUCGAAAGCGUGGGGAGCAAACAGGAUUAGAUACCCCUGUAGUC